RNAcentral lists this ribosomal RNA (253 nucleotides) under uncultured bacterium. Its description in RNAcentral is "partial 16S ribosomal RNA". It matches the Rfam family "Bacterial small subunit ribosomal RNA", at positions 524 to 776 of the family's 1533-position model. The record is from RNAcentral.
GACGAACCGUGCGAACGUUGUUCGGAAUCACUGGGCUUAAAGGGCGCGUAGGCGGGCAUUCAAGUCAGGGGUGAAAUCCCUCAGCUUAACUGAGGAACUGCCUUUGAUACUGGGUGCCUCGAGUAAGGUAGGGGCAUGCGGAACUGAUGGUGGAGCGGUGAAAUGUGUUGAUAUCAUCAGGAACUCCGGUGGCGAAGGCGGCAUGCUGGACCUUCACUGACGCUGAGGCGCGAAAGCUAGGGGAGCGAACGGG